This 379-nucleotide small RNA is filed under the name Histoplasma capsulatum var. duboisii H88. Its description in RNAcentral is "Histoplasma capsulatum H88 hypothetical RNA". Lineage: Eukaryota; Fungi; Ascomycota; Eurotiomycetes; Onygenales; Ajellomycetaceae. The record is from RNAcentral.
GCUGCUAUGUGUGUGCUGGCAGAGCUUACUACCAGCUCGGGGUUAAAUUCGUCCCUGUCUACUAACAAUGCAAUUCCUUUCUACUAGUAAUUGCCUGCCAAAGGAGAAGGGAGGAAAAUGGGUUUGGUUAUGUUACUGACAUCCAUGGGAUCCCCCCCCCUUUUUUUUUUUUUUUUUUGACUGCGUGGUGAUCAUACACAACGCGCUCCCAGGAUUGUAACUUUUUUUUUUUGAAAACUACACCUUCCUUAAAGGGAAGGUGAGUAAGUCCCUAAUCUGUGGCAAGAUUUUCAUGCGAUGCCCAGAGUGUGGGGUGGAGGACAUUGUCGUCGUUAUCGUUGUUGUUGUUGUUAUUGUGUUUGAAGCGGCAUCAAGGGGG